This 756-nucleotide ribosomal RNA is filed under the name Lactiplantibacillus plantarum. RNAcentral describes it as "bacterial SSU rRNA". It matches the Rfam family "Bacterial small subunit ribosomal RNA", at positions 35 to 754 of the family's 1533-position model. The record is from RNAcentral. Lineage: Bacteria; Bacillati; Bacillota; Bacilli; Lactobacillales; Lactobacillaceae.
GUACCCACCGAGCCCAAUACAUGCAAGUCGAACGAACUCUGGUAUUGAUUGGUGCUUGCAUCAUGAUUUACAUUUGAGUGAGUGGCGAACUGGUGAGUAACACGUGGGAAACCUGCCCAGAAGCGGGGGAUAACACCUGGAAACAGAUGCUAAUACCGCAUAACAACUUGGACCGCAUGGUCCGAGCUUGAAAGAUGGCUUCGGCUAUCACUUUUGGAUGGUCCCGCGGCGUAUUAGCUAGAUGGUGGGGUAACGGCUCACCAUGGCAAUGAUACGUAGCCGACCUGAGAGGGUAAUCGGCCACAUUGGGACUGAGACACGGCCCAAACUCCUACGGGAGGCAGCAGUAGGGAAUCUUCCACAAUGGACGAAAGUCUGAUGGAGCAACGCCGCGUGAGUGAAGAAGGGUUUCGGCUCGUAAAACUCUGUUGUUAAAGAAGAACAUAUCUGAGAGUAACUGUUCAGGUAUUGACGGUAUUUAACCAGAAAGCCACGGCUAACUACGUGCCAGCAGCCGCGGUAAUACGUAGGUGGCAAGCGUUGUCCGGAUUUAUUGGGCGUAAAGCGAGCGCAGGCGGUUUUUUAAGUCUGAUGUGAAAGCCUUCGGCUCAACCGAAGAAGUGCAUCGGAAACUGGGAAACUUGAGUGCAGAAGAGGACAGUGGAACUCCAUGUGUAGCGGUGAAAUGCGUAGAUAUAUCGAAAGAACACCAGUGGCGAAAGCGGCUGUCUGGGUCUGUAACUGACACUGAGGCUU